UUGGAAUACAGAGCGUAAGGAAGG
This 24-nucleotide small RNA is filed under the name Bombyx mori (domestic silkworm). RNAcentral describes it as "ovarian small RNA-37989". Lineage: Eukaryota; Metazoa; Arthropoda; Insecta; Lepidoptera; Bombycidae. The record is from RNAcentral.